GAACAGGGAUAAAAUGGACAAUU
Molecule: microRNA, 23 nt
Filed under: Lotus japonicus
Lineage: Eukaryota; Viridiplantae; Streptophyta; Magnoliopsida; Fabales; Fabaceae
Description: lja-miR11144-3p
Source: miRBase by way of RNAcentral